Molecule: long non-coding RNA, 323 nt
Organism: Vidua macroura (Pin-tailed whydah)
Lineage: Eukaryota; Metazoa; Chordata; Aves; Passeriformes; Viduidae
Exons: 2
Source: RefSeq, a predicted model, not a curated record
GGGCGGGAGCAGCGCCAGGGCCGGGAGGAGGAGCUGGAAGGGCCGCGGGGCGGGAUGGAUCGGGCCGGGAGAAGGAGCUGGACGGGCGGAUCGGGCCGGGCUGGGCGCGGCCCGGGCCGGGUCCCCGGAGCGGCCGGGGCUGACGGGCACUGCCGGCUCCCCCCGCCGCCUCCCCGGGUGCCGCUGUCCCCGCACCAAGCCCCGCUCCGGGCAGUGCAGCCCCCGGUGCGGUCCUGCAGGGCCCGGGCAGGGGGUGAACGCUGGGCAUUGAGAGGAUAAAACGAGUAAAUAAAUGAUGGGCCCAGCGCCUGGCAUCUAAACUA